Molecule: ribosomal RNA, 1700 nt
Filed under: Deladenus durus
Lineage: Eukaryota; Metazoa; Nematoda; Chromadorea; Rhabditida; Sphaerulariidae
Description: SSU rRNA
Rfam family: Eukaryotic small subunit ribosomal RNA
Source: RNAcentral
AUGUCCUAGUAUAGACGAUUUUAUCGUGAAACCGCGAACGGCUCAUUAAAUCAGCUAUGAUCUACUUGAUCUUGACAUAUCCUACUUGGAUAACUGUGGUAAUUCUAGAGCUAAUACAUGCACCAAAGCUCUGACCUCGCGGAAAGAGUGCAUUUAUUAGAGCAAAACCAAGCGGCUUCGGUCGUUUUUUGCUGACUCAGAAUAACUCAGCUGAUCGCACGGUCUUUGAACCGGCGACGUGUCUUUUGAGUAGCUGCCUUAUCAAUUUUCGAUGGUAGUGUAUUGGACUACCAUGGUGUUGACGGGUAACGGAGAAUUAGGGUUCGACUCCGGAGAAGGGGCCUGAGAAAUGGCCACUACGUCUAAGGAUGGCAGCAGGCGCGCAAAUUACCCACUCUCGGAAGGAGGAGGUAGUGACGAGAAAUAACGAGACCGUUCUCUUUGAGGCCGGUUAUUGGAAUGGGUACAAUCUAAACCCUUUAACGAGUAUCUAUGAGAGGGCAAGUCUGGUGCCAGCAGCCGCGGUAAUUCCAGCUCUCAAAAUGCAUAGAACCAUUGCUGCGGUUAAAAAGCUCGUAGUUGAAUCUAUGCCUUAGGCUUGGUCCACUUUGAUUUAAGUGCGUACUAGGUUCUUUGGCUUUUCGUCGGUUUUCUAGUCGUGGCCUUUAUUGGUGGCGGCUAGUGGCUGGCAAUUUUACUUUGAAUAAAUCAGAGUGCUUAAAACAGGCGUUUUGCUUGUAUGCUUUUGCAUGGAAUAAUAGAAUAUGACUUUGGUCUAGUUUUAUUGGUUUUAUAGAUCGUUGUAAUGAUUAAAAGAGACAAACGGGGGCAUUCGUGUUGUUGCGUGAGAGGUGAAAUUCUUGGACCGUAGCAAGACGACCUACAGCGAAAGCAUUUGCCAAGCUUGUCUUCAUUAAUCAAGAACGAAAGUCAGAGGAUCGAAGGUGAUCAGAUACCGCCCUAGUUCUGACCGUAAACGAUGCCAACUAGCGAUUCGCCGGUGGAAUUUUUGCCCUGGCGAGGAGCUUCCCGGAAACGAAAGUCUUCCGGUUCCGGGGGAAGUAUGGUUGCAAAGCUGAAACUUAAAGGAAUUGACGGAAGGGCACCACCAGGAGUGGAGCCUGCGGCUUAAUUUGACUCAACACGGGAAAACUCACCCGGCCCGGACACUAUAAGGAUUGACAGAUUGAUAGCUCUUUCAUGAUUUGGUGGAUGGUGGUGCAUGGCCGUUCUUAGUUCGUGGAGUGAUUUGUCUGGUUUAUUCCGAUAACGAGCGAGACUCUAGCCUAUUAAAUAGUUCGUAUAUUAUUUGCUGUGUUAUGAUACUUCCUAGAGGAAUUUUCGGUGUUUAACCGUAUGAAAGUGAGCAAUAACAGGUCUGUGAUGCCCUUAGAUGUCCGGGGCUGCACGCGCGCUACACUGGUAAAGUCAGCGUGUGUUUCCUUUUUUGAAAGAGAUUGGUAAACCGAGGAAAGUUUGUCGUGAUUGGGAUCGGAGAUUGCAAUUAUUUUCUGUGAACGAGGAAUUCCAAGUAAAUGUGAGUCAUUAACUCGCGUUGAUUACGUCCCUGCCCUUUGUACACACCGCCCGUCGCUGCCCGGGACUGAGCCAUUUCGAGAAAUUUGGGGAUUGCUGAUCGACGGUCUUUCGGGAUUGUCUUUUGGUGAAAACCAGCUUAAUCGUAGUGGUUUGAACCGGGC